Molecule: ribosomal RNA, 433 nt
Filed under: uncultured bacterium
Lineage: Bacteria
Description: partial 16S ribosomal RNA
Rfam family: Bacterial small subunit ribosomal RNA
Source: RNAcentral
AGCGAACGCUGGCGGCAGGCUUAACACAUGCAAGUCGAGCGGGCACUUCGGUGUCAGCGGCAGACGGGUGGGUAACACGUGGGAACGUACCCUUUGGUUCGGAAUAACGCUGGGAAACUAGCGCUAAUACCGGAUACGCCCUUUUGGGGAAAGGCUUGCUGCCGAAGGAUCGGCCCGCGUCUGAUUAGCUAGUUGGUGGGGUAAUGGCCUACCAAGGCGACGAUCAGUAGCUGGUCUGAGAGGAUGAUCAGCCACACUGGGACUGAGACACGGCCCAGACUCCUACGGGAGGCAGCAGUGGGGAAUAUUGGACAAUGGGCGCAAGCCUGAUCCAGCCAUGCCGCGUGAGUGAUGAAGGCCUUAGGGUUGUAAAGCUCUUCUGUCCGGGACGAUAAUGACGGUACCGGAAGAAUAAGCCCCGGCUAACUUCGUG